RNAcentral lists this ribosomal RNA (253 nucleotides) under uncultured bacterium. Its description in RNAcentral is "partial 16S ribosomal RNA". It matches the Rfam family "Bacterial small subunit ribosomal RNA", at positions 524 to 776 of the family's 1533-position model. The record is from RNAcentral.
UACGUAGGGAGCAAGCGUUGUCCGGAAUCAUUGGGCGUAAAGCGCGCGUAGGCGGCCCUGUAAGUCCGUUGUGAAAGUCAAAGGCUCAACCUUUGAAAGCCGAUGGAUACUGCAGGGCUAGAGUCCGGAAGAGGCGAGUGGAAUUCCUGGUGUAGCGGUGAAAUGCGCAGAUAUCAGGAGGAACACCGGUGGCGAAGGCGGUUCUCUGGGCAUUACCUGACGCUGAGGAGCGAAAGUGUGGGGAGCGAACAGG